UACAGGGGGGGCAAGCGUUGUUCGGAAUUACUGGGCGUAAAGGGCCAGUAGGCGGCCAACUAAGUCACACGUGAAAUCCCCAGGCUUAACCUGGGAACUGCGUGUGAUACUGGAUGGCUUGAAUUCGGGAGAGGGAUGCAGAAUUCCAGGUGUAGCGGUGAAAUGCGUAGAUAUCUGGAGGAAUACCGGUGGCGAAGGCGGCAUCCUGGACCGGCAUUGACGCUGAGGAGCGAAAGCCAGGGGAGCAAACGGG
Molecule: ribosomal RNA, 253 nt
Filed under: uncultured bacterium
Lineage: Bacteria
Description: partial 16S ribosomal RNA
Rfam family: Bacterial small subunit ribosomal RNA
Source: RNAcentral